This 2447-nucleotide long non-coding RNA is filed under the name Phoenix dactylifera (date palm). Its description in RNAcentral is "long non-coding RNA (PDAC_LNC008059)". The record is from RNAcentral. Lineage: Eukaryota; Viridiplantae; Streptophyta; Magnoliopsida; Arecales; Arecaceae.
CAUAAUCAAUAAAAGUCCAUUUUAUGUGAAAUUCCAACAGUCGUAUCAAGGUUUACUUAAGUUGGUUCACACCUUUAAAUCGGAUAUAAAUGGCUACAAUUUUGCACAGAGGGGUUGCCUUCUCAUGGUAAACUCAAGAACCACGACUCCGGACUUCUGAUCAGCCUCCCUAUGAAAGUCUGGAAGGAUUAAAUCAAUCAAACUACAUGUCUGUCAUUAGACUACGCUGGGUUGCAGCUACAUGUCUAUCGUUUGACUGCAAAAGUCUUUGACAUUCAAACAGCAGAAGGAACCAUUUUAUGUCUUCAGUAAUGGAGUUUGGCUUCAAAAGUCCUUGAUAAGCUUUGCUUUAUUUAAAGUUGCAUUAGGAAAUCACAAUCUAACAUACCAAACAUGAAGUUAUAGCCUCAUCAAUACAGUAGAUUUUUCUUGCCAAUUGAAGAUAUCUCGUCUUUUGUUGGCACUUCUUGUGCUUGGUCUUGGUGAUAGUUGCCCAGGCUCACUGUGCACUCCUGGAUCUUUUAAUAAAAGUUGUGCAAAGGGAGAUCAUUACCUUGCACAACAUCUCGUAAUUGGUCUCUUCAGCAUGAUUCAUUUAAAUGUGCAUGCUAUGGAGCAGAUUACGCAAGGGGUAUCCACCAAUGCAAAAUAUAAACCUCUUAUCUCUUGGAACCUCCAUUUGUUGAAUGAAUGAACGAGGGAACUGCUGAAGCGAUAACGAGAAAGCUGGGAGCUCUGCAUGAAAGGUUUUUAAAGGUUAAUAAUGAGGAUGACUACUUUUAAUGAAAGCUUUUACAAAAUGGAGAAAAGAAAAGGACAAAAAUAAUAACAAAACAAAGUAGAAAACUAUCCUUCUUCUAUUGUCUUCUAAUAUAAAGUGGGAAAGCCUAGGGUUCAGCAUGCAAAGCGUGGUAGACUUUAAGACCAUCCGUAAGGCAGAGUUGCGUUCAAACUAAAGAUAUUUAUUAUGGGCCCAUUUAUUUAUGUUCUAACUACAAGUGGACAACAUUUCUCAACAAACUACUUUUCCAUAACCAAACAAAAGCGUUUCAACCUAGCUACUUUUUAUUUUUUCUUUUCAUUCAAAACAAAAUUCGAACCUUGAGAAAUUAUAAAACCACAAUUAGAUUUAAGAUUUUCAACCCAAGGGAUGAACAGUAGAAAUCAGAAAGUGUAGUCAUAAGUUUGGAGUUCUGGAGUAAUUCGAUUGGUGGUAAAAGUUUAGAAUUUGGAAAAAUCCAAGAAAUUCAUCUAAAGUUUGACCAAAUUAAGAUAACCGAAAUAAAGAAUAAACAACAACUGAAAAAAGCUUCUUGAAAUACUCGUAUACUUAUUUACUUUCAAAAUAAGUGUACAAGAUACACAAAUGGCAAAUGAGAGCAAAAUAAUCAACAACAAUAAAUGUUACCAUUAGUUCGUAAAACACAAAGAUUUCUUAAAUUAGUCAAGAAUAACUUGUGAAUAAAUCAUAAAAUCUGUCUAAGAUUCAAUAACAAUUGAAGAAUUCUGAAUUGAUAUAUUCAUAGAGAAUAAUUUGGAGAAUCACUAGACCAAGAGAACAAUUGAGAACAACUCAGAAAUUUCUAAUAGUUUAAAUAAUAUUCACAAAUACUAUGUCCCCAAAUCACAUACAAGUGGGCGAUGCAUAGUAAGAGAGGUUUUGGCAUAACAGAAGUAUCUUUUUUUUCCUCUCCUUGAGAGAGAUGGUGAGAGAGUACCCAUUUACUUAUAAAAAUAUAUAAAGAAUUAACUAUGUCAAACAUUCGAGGAAACAUCCUUCCAAGGUCCAAACAUUGAACACGUUUCCAAUAUGAGGUGUGUGCUGUAAUCCAAGAGGCUAAUGUAUUACUGAGUUUGCAACAUUACACUAACAAAAGAUACAUACCGUAUUCACAAAACUCUUUUUUGAGUAGCACGUUUCCAUAAUGAUAGAAAAUUGACAUAAAAUUAUUUUUCAUCCUAUAAACAAUAAAAAUAUCCAUAUAAUGGUUGUUUAAACCAAAUAAAAGCUAAAUGGAGAUGAUAUUCAAAUAACUAUUGUAUAUGCAUGUAUAAUGAUUUUGGGAUUGUACGGUUGGUUAUGACAAUAAACCUUACUCCUUUUUUUUCCUUGAGAGAAGCAAGAAGCAUAACAUUUUAACAAGAAAAAACCAUCAAUAUAUAUAUAGUUCAUCAUUCUCAUAAAAAUAAAAGCCGAAGAUCUUGACAAAGCUUAAUUUUAACCAAAAAAAUGAAAACAAAAGGAUAAUGAUAAUAUAUUUGAUCAGCAUGAUGGUAACAAUUUGUAGAACAUGUGAAAGGUAUAAAAUAUGAGAUCAAAAAUAUACGUAAAUAAUCCACCAAGUCGAAGUUCAAACUGCAAUAAGCUUCAUCAACUCGUCUCUUUCUCUCUCUCCCUCUCUCACUCACUCUAACUAGUUUUGGAGUGAGUUCUCUCUCAUUUUAGG